Hordeum vulgare subsp. vulgare (domesticated barley) is the source of this 42-nucleotide non-coding RNA. The record is from Rfam. Lineage: Eukaryota; Viridiplantae; Streptophyta; Magnoliopsida; Poales; Poaceae.
CGUAACAAGGUUUCCGUAGGUGAACCUGCGGAAGGAUCAUUG